CCUACGGGAGGCAGCAGUGGGGAAUAUUGGACAAUGGGGGCAACCCUGAUCCAGCCAUGCCGCGUGUGUGAAGAAGGCCCUCGGGUUGUAAAGCACUUUCAGUGAGGAAGAACGCCUGGUGGUUAAUACCCAUCAGGAAAGACAUCACUCACAGAAGAAGCACCGGCUAACUCCGUGCCAGCAGCCGCGGUAAUACGGAGGGUGCGAGCGUUAAUCGGAAUUACUGGGCGUAAAGCGCGCGUAGGUGGCUUGAUAAGCCGGUUGUGAAAGCCCCGGGCUCAACCUGGGAACGGCAUCCGGAACUGUCAAGCUAGAGUGCAGGAGAGGAAGGUAGAAUUCCCGGUGUAGCGGUGAAAUGCGUAGAGAUCGGGAGGAAUACCAGUGGCGAAGGCGGCCUUCUGGACUGACACUGACACGGAGGUGCGAAAGCGUGGGUAGCAAACAGGAUUAGAUACCCCUGUAGUC
This 465-nucleotide ribosomal RNA is filed under the name Vreelandella stevensii. RNAcentral's name for it is "partial 16S ribosomal RNA". It matches the Rfam family "Bacterial small subunit ribosomal RNA", at positions 338 to 795 of the family's 1533-position model. Lineage: Bacteria; Pseudomonadati; Pseudomonadota; Gammaproteobacteria; Oceanospirillales; Halomonadaceae. The record is from RNAcentral.